UUGGGUGCUGCUCACUGGGUUCCCUGGACCCCCCCAGACCCCCAAACCCCCUGUCUGGCUGCUGGCUUCCAGCUGAACUUGGGGCUGUGCUUAUUUUCUUGGAGGUGGGGGGGCUGCCCUUGGUGUGCACCCCUGUUCUGGGGGGGUAUCCCCUCAGCAGUGGAUGCAGGGAGGCUAUUUUUAAUUUUGCAGGUGUUUUUUGUGGCAGCAGCAGGAGAAUUGUCCCUGCAGGUAUGUGGGGUGCAGUCCUGGGGGGGGUCAGGGGAAGGUGAUGGUGGCUGGGGGCACAGAAGAUGCAUGGUUAAUUAUUUGUGGCAAUAAUUAGAUUUUAUUGGGGGGGUUGUUGGGGAGAAGUUGACUUCUGGAGGGCUCUGGUGUGGGAAUUGGGGACAAUAUUCCCUUUAUGGCCAGCUCUGGUUGGUGGGGUUGAGGGUCUUGGUGUUUUGCAGCUUCUGGUGAUUUGGGGGGGGUGUCUGCUGGGCUUGUCCCCCCCCCCGAACUGGGAUGUGUGGCAUUUUUGUGUGUUGAACUGGUCUUUAUUUCAGGUGGCUGGCAGCAGAGCAGAAGAGCUGAGGAUGAUGAGGGGCUGUUGGUGGUUGGAGGAAGAUGAAGAUGUUUUGGUGGCUGGAGGAGGAUGAAGACUUCCUGCUCUCCCUCCGGUGUGUGGCCACCAGCCUGGGCUGGGAGAUGGCCCCUGCGUGUUUGGCUGUGGCUGGCUGCUGGUCGCCUGGACCUGGCUUGGGAUUAACAGGUAAUAAAUAGAAUUAAUAGCCAAUAAAUUGAAUUAAC
Molecule: long non-coding RNA, 789 nt
Filed under: Calidris pugnax (ruff)
Lineage: Eukaryota; Metazoa; Chordata; Aves; Charadriiformes; Scolopacidae
Description: lncRNA (ENSCPUG00000004116.1)
Source: RNAcentral